Molecule: RNA transcript, 2357 nt
Organism: Zingiber officinale
Lineage: Eukaryota; Viridiplantae; Streptophyta; Magnoliopsida; Zingiberales; Zingiberaceae
Exons: 7
Source: RefSeq, a predicted model, not a curated record
UUGGAGUAGUGACGCGUUCACUUCCAUUCCUGAGAGCCCUUGAUGUGAUGGCGACGGCAUUCCGCCGGAGACCUCUUUCUACCGCCGAUCUCUCCUGGAUGGCACGUCGCCGCGUUUCCGUCCGACCGGACAUGCCCCUCUGGGGGCCCUCGGGCCUCGACGCCCUUCUACGCCCGACGAACCUCAUUGUGUCGCCGAUUCCAGAUGCAGCGUCGGCGGAGGCGACGCCGAAUCUCAACGGACUGGGGAGACGUCUUUCGCCGGAUCAUCCGUGGCGAAUCCCUCCGCAUUCGAGCUAUAACUUUGCCUUCUCAUCCUUUGAUUCAUUCAAUUUGCUUGUCAACGAUGGAUUAGAGCAGGUCAAGUAAUAUUUCAUGUUAGUAGUGAAUUUAAGUUCAGGAGAUGGUUUCAAAUACCAGUGGCUGUAUGCUACCUUCUUUAAUCUAUGCCUGCUGCAGACUCAUCUUCACAUAAUUCCUUGGAAGCCUGGGGACCAGCUAUGGCCUUUUGAGCGAGUGCAGGUAGUUGCAAUUUGGACAGUGUGGUGAAGAUUUGAACAUCAUGACGAGAAGAUGGCAAUGAACACAGACUAAUGCCACCAUGUUGCUACUUGAACUGCAUUGCUUCUUCAUUUCCUGAGCUGUGUAUGUUGUCUUUCCUUCUGAGAAUGGAAACACUGAGAUGUUAAGAUCCAAGUCCAUGCUUCGCUCUUUUGGCCUCAUCCAUCUUUUUUUCAUGGUCCUCCUGUUCAGUGGCAGGGGAUCAUCGAGCUGGAGGUCAAUGUUACCACUCUGGUUCACUGGAUUACUCCAUAUAGAUUGUUGCUUCCUCUUCGUCGUGGAAAUUGGAUCUGUUUCCUCAGUCGAGAUUGACUGAGGCUGGCCAAGAGAAAGCUCCGUGUGUUCCAUAGCCGCCUGUUUGAUACUGGUGGAGAAAAGCUAAAGAGUUUAUUGUCAAAGAGAAGCUGAUGAAAAAGCCAUGAGUUUAUGGCAGAGUGAAGGUCUUCAUCUAAGAAGUGACAAAGCGAUCAAAGGUAGAUCUAAUCUGUCCACAAUGAUCAUCACGUCGAGUUCUCUCGAGGCAUGACUAGGAGACUAGAGAUUAAAAAAGAAAAGAAAAAAAAAAAAGAAACCACCACCCAAUUCGACAAGGAGACUUGUCGAGUGUGAUUGGGUCAUUAAAUGCCCAAAAAAUAAAAAGGUUCUUCAAAUGGAAAAUAAGUGAAAAUGUGAUUGCAACUUGUGUCGACAUAUGAGGGCGGUCAAUUAGCAUAUUCUGGAUUAUUGUGCCAUUCUUUGAUUUCCCUUAUAUUCUGUCACAUUUGAGUUUAUCUGAGAAGAGAGACAUCAAUCAAUUCCAGCACAUGAAAACAGUGAGAGAGAUUGGAUAAAUGCAUGUAAGAUUUGUUCAUUCUACAUGAGCAGAACCUGCGGAUACGAUGCUGAUAGAAGUUUGUUUAUCUGACAAAGUUGAUGAAAGAGUAUUUCAAAGAUUCUUGUGAGGUGAAGGAUCACAUCGUGGAGCUUGCAACGUAGGCAAUUCUACAACCAUCAAAUAUAUUCCCCAAUUAUUCAUCUCUAUCUCUCCCAUGGCUGCCAAACUCAAGCUGAAUUUUUCUUUUCUUCUGGGACAAUGACAAGAUCAGUGCUGCAGUAAAUGAGGUUUUGCACAUGGCGUGGGAGUCAGUUCCGAGGAAGGAAGAACAGCAUCUCCUCGCUCAUACGUCAACAGGUGAGGAAAAGGUUGGGGACAAUUGUUUAUGGCAGUGGAAUUCACCAAACAACUGGUGGCCAAAUGAUGCACAAAUAAUUGAAUGAGAGAUGUCAGAUGGAAGGAAGGACGCACGCCGUGCAAGGGAGAAUCCCACCACCCGGCUCCUUUUUUCUUCUGCGGAUUCAUAAACAAAUGUAGUGAUGAAGAAUAAAGGAGAUGAUUGCAUGGGGAUGUGUCAUUGGGCACUGCCAGGAUAACAAUAGUCAAAAAGGUGGCAAAAAAGCCUUAUGUCGCUGGUUUGGAUGAGAGAUUUGGAUCUGAUACAACUAAUCGAGUGCUGAUGGUGCAAAUCCUAUCUAUGAUAUGCUUGGAAUAUACGGCGUGCGAGAAAGAAAAGAGGAUUCAUAUGAUGGAGCAGGGGGAUCGUAUUCCUUAGGAUUUUAUGCAUGACUUGCACUGUAGUGUGGAGGACAAGGUUCUUCCAUGCUUUCUCCCAUUGUUAAUGGGAAAUACAUGGGUGCUUGGAGGACUAAUGAUAGAAAAAGUGGCAAUAUAUUCUCCAAUAACGUUUCAUUUUGACUCAGAUUGUGAUUCUCCAAAUAAUGCUCGUUAAAGUGAUGCAAUGUGCAAUGGGCUUGCGGAUA